UAGGUUAUUAAAAAGAAAAAAUAUAGAUCUUAAUUAUUCUUUUUAUUUUUUGAUACGAUCUUUUUAGGAUCUAAAAAAAUAAAUUGAUGUAGGUAUAAGUAUAAAAGAUGAAUGGAUGAGGUUCGGAUAGAGUAUUAAAAGAUAAAUAUAAAAAUAAUUAAUUAAAAAAUGAGAAAGAAAGAGAGAGAAAAUGAGAAAGGUCAAAAUGGUG
This 211-nucleotide long non-coding RNA is filed under the name Elaeis guineensis (African oil palm). Its description in RNAcentral is "long non-coding RNA (EGUI_LNC025150)". Lineage: Eukaryota; Viridiplantae; Streptophyta; Magnoliopsida; Arecales; Arecaceae. The record is from RNAcentral.